CACGAAGUUAGCCGGGGCUUCUUCUCCGGGUACCGUCAUUAUCGUCCCCGGUGAAAGAAUUUUACAAUCCUAAGACCUUCAUCAUUCACGCGGCAUGGCUGCGUCAGGCUUUCGCCCAUUGCGCAAGAUUCCCCACUGCUGCCUCCCGUAGGAGUCUGGGCCGUGUCUCAGUCCCAGUGUGGCUGGUCAUCCUCUCAGACCAGCUACUGAUCGUCGCCUUGGUGAGCCGUUACCUCACCAACUAGCUAAUCAGACGCGGGCCGCUCUAAUGGCGAUAAAUCUUUCCCCCGAAGGGCACAUUCGGUAUUAGCACAAGUUUCCCUGAGUUAUUCCGAACCAAAAGGCACGUUCCCACGUGUUACUCACCCGUCCGCCACUAACUCCGAAGAGUUCGUUCGACUUGCAUGUGUUAGGCCUGCCGCCAGCGUUCGCUCUGAGCCAGGAUCAAACUCU
This 453-nucleotide ribosomal RNA is filed under the name uncultured Brevundimonas sp. RNAcentral describes it as "partial 16S ribosomal RNA". Lineage: Bacteria; Pseudomonadati; Pseudomonadota; Alphaproteobacteria; Caulobacterales; Caulobacteraceae. The record is from RNAcentral.